Ixodes scapularis (black-legged tick) is the source of this 82-nucleotide non-coding RNA. The record is from Rfam. Lineage: Eukaryota; Metazoa; Arthropoda; Arachnida; Ixodida; Ixodidae.
GCAGUCGUGGCCGGGUGGUUAAGGCGAUGGACUUGAAAUCCUUUGGGGUCUCCCCGCACAUGUUCGAAUCCUGUUGACUGCG